This 233-nucleotide long non-coding RNA is filed under the name Elaeis guineensis (African oil palm). RNAcentral describes it as "long non-coding RNA (EGUI_LNC023928)". The record is from RNAcentral. Lineage: Eukaryota; Viridiplantae; Streptophyta; Magnoliopsida; Arecales; Arecaceae.
AAAAAGACUAGACUCGGAACACAUAAAUAGCAUUUUUCUUCAAUAAUAGUUUGUAUUUUGUUAACAACUAGUAUGAUUGUUCAAAAUAUAGGAAGCUUCUUGUUCAAAAUUAUCCAAGUCUGGCGUUCAAAACCUUGGAAACUUCUUGUUCACAAGCCUCAAGUCUUGCCUUCUGAUUACACCUAUCUAGCUACAGGGAGUGAAAAAGGAAAAGAAAAAAAAUGCAUGGCGGA